Molecule: non-coding RNA, 2679 nt
Organism: Amborella trichopoda
Lineage: Eukaryota; Viridiplantae; Streptophyta; Magnoliopsida; Amborellales; Amborellaceae
Source: RefSeq, a predicted model, not a curated record
AUUAAUCCACCCAUGUUUGGGCACAACUCUAUAUAUAUCACGUACUACCAUUGUACGAGGACCUUUUGCAAGACAAACUUUUGCUUAAUAAGAAUUCUAUUCCUUCUUAUUGUGGGGUCACGUUUUGAGAGAGAAAGGAAGGAGAGAGAAACUUUUGAAUCGGUACUCCUAGGCUCAAGGUAAAUCUUUCUCUCUCUUCUUUUAUUUUAUUCUUCUCUCUCUUCUUCUCUUUCUUCUUCUUCUUCGUAUGAGCUUCUCUCAGAGACCAUGCACGGUAGAGGGAGUGUUGUGCAAGCCUCUUUCUUUUCUUUUUCCCCUCUUGUGGUUUCACAGGUCGUGCACGGCGAUGGCAGCUCCAUGCGUGAGCUUCUUUCUCCUUCUUGUUGUUCAUCUUUAUCUCUCAGCAAGGUUCGCAGACGGUGCUGCUCAACGCCAUCAGCAGAUGUGUCCUUGACAUCUCAGCAAGGAGCACAGACGAUCAGUCUAUUGUCGCCCACAGGGGUCUUCCCUUGUUGCAAGCCUAUUGGAGACGGUGAUGCCUAUCACCACCCGCGAAGGGUCGCGAUAACACCUAUCGCCGUCCGCAAGCUCCUUUCAUGCACUCGGCGCCUAUCGCCGUCCACGAGCUUCCUUUAUGCGCUCGGUGCCUAUCGCCGACCACAAGCCUCUUUCUUGCGUCCCGUGCCUAUCGUCGUGCACCUCAUAAGGAACUUUCGUCUCGUGCUUCACAAGUGGCUAUCGUCACGCGCUUCACAGGAAGCUAUCGUCGCCCACGAAGGGGUGUGAUGCCUUCUCGCGUUGCCAAUGGCGAUGCCUAGCGCCGCUCGUAGUUCAUUGCUCACCUUAAAGCCAUGAGCAGUAGUGUCUCGCGCCACCCAAGGGCCGUGAUACUGUUACUCCACGGUUGUGGGUGGUGAUGCCUAGCUCUGUUGGGACCCCAUCUCUUUGCCGCCUUGUGCCUUCUCUCGAUUUGAAAUGCAAGCUUACCGUCUUUGACUAAUUAUUUAUUACCAUCGUCCAAUGGUUAAAAAAUUAUGUUGUCUUAACCUAAAAUAAAUAAAUAAACGCUUUGUUUCUUUCGUUUUAAAAAAUUAAUAAAUCUAAAAAAUUGGUAUAAGAUUAUAAAAAAUUGGAGGAUUUUCUAACAUUUUAACACUCUAUUCUAUUUUGAUGUGCACCUUACUUUAAGUGUAUAAGAUUAACACCUUAUAUAGACCUUUCCUCUUUGACAAGAUAUUACACUCCAAAAAAACUUAGUUAUGAACAGAGCCUAGUUUAACUCCAGCACCAAUGAACACGAACUUCUAGUCUAUGAAAUCUAGUAUUAAGUUAAAAGGGAAAGCUUUAUAUGAUCUCCCUAGAGCAUAGAAGUUUUAUAAUGCAUGGAUGAGAUUAAUCCACUUGAGUUGUCAAAAAAAAAAAAAAAGCACAAGUUCAACCGGUAACCAUAUCUAAAUAACCCGUACAAAAGAUAUUCCCAUUUGACAAGUUAGAUAGAGGAAACUCGAUUGGAAAGGAGAGAGAAAAAGAGAGCGUUGAGCAAGCCGAGAGAGAGAGAAAGUGCGGAACCUUGAAUCCCUAAUUUCUAUCCAAAGCGAGGGUGUUUUGGACAGCAGCUCUUCUUGCGCUUCCCAUUGUGAGUCAUUUUUUUGAAGCUAAGGCGGGCGAUCAUGGUUUUUUUGGACAACAGCCCUUCUUGUGCCUCCCAUUUUGAGCCAUUUUUUUUAAAGCUAUGGCAGGGUGAUAUGGACGUUGCUCCUGAUUGGAUCUAGGGUUUUUUCUGGGUCGAUUCCGGUACGUUGCUCCUGAUUUGGAUCUAGGGUUUUUUUUGCGUCGAUUCUGGUUGAGUAAGCGCAUAGAGCAACUUGAAUUCAUUAAAUGAGGGAUCUCUAAGGUUCUUAUAGAAAUCUUCGAUUAACAUGUAUGUUGCUUUGUGAUCAGUAGAGGCUUGCCGUUUGGCACACUUCUAAUCGGUAUUACUGAUUAAAAGUUAUGGACAUCAUAGAGAAGGGUACUCAAGUGGUGACAUUGUUGCUAAUAUGAAGCCUAUUGAGCCUUACAUACCCAUUGAGGCACUCGUACACCUGAUUCAUCCUAUAAGACAGACCAGGAUGAAUUCUAUGAAGACAAUACAAGAAGUCAAAAUAGAGGCCAUAUGUAUAUCCUAAAUUUUCAAUGACUAUAUCAGUUUGGAUAAUAAUGCAAGAAGUUAAUGCAGAGGCUAUAUCUUUAAGAAAAAGAUUGGAGUUUUUUUUACAAGCCCAAUGGUCAACCCGCAAGCCCAUCAUCUCAGAAAUGUUUUGCAAGUCCAAUGCUCAACAAUCAAGCUCAUCAUCUUAGAAAUUUUUUGUAAGCCCAAUGCUCAACAAUCAAGCUCAUCAUCUUAGACGUUUUUUGUGACCCCAAUGCUAGUGGAGAAGACUUUGUCUUACAUUUUUUGCAACCCUAAUGCUAGUGGAGAAGACUUUGUCUUGGAACGGAGCUUCGAAAUGGAAUUUUUGUAUAGCUUCCAUAUGUUGCAAAUUCACGUUGCAAUAGUUUCAAUGUGCAUAUUGAAUAGCUUCAAAAUAGAAUUUUUGUAUAGCUUUCCAUUUUACAAAUUCUUGUUGCAAAUAAAAUUUUUGUAUAGCUUCGAAAUGAAAUUUGUGUAUAGCUUUCAUACGUUGCAAACGAUAUGUA